GGCGGCCUUAUUUCUGAGCCUUCAAGAAGACAAUUCGCUCUCGGUAAGAUAACAUGGGGAGAAGAGAAGGAAAGGAAUGCGAGAAGAGAAAGGACCGCUAGGCGGCGACAGAGCAGCAUAAUUCAUUUUCUUCCGCUAAAUAGUGUUUCUUUUAGGCUGAAAAGAGACCAAUAGAUGGCGACAAAGCACCACAAAUCAUUUUUUUCCUUUAGGCUGAGAAACCACAGUAGAGGUCUGCAGGUCUUCUGCAUGCCGGAGGGGACAGUUUGGGGUUUUGUUAUUUGCAAGGGCACAAUUAGGACCGCUGGGUUGGAAUUAAGCCUGCGUCUCCACAGGGCAAAGGUUCUUGGUAUGGCCAUGAAGGGAGACCUUGGGCCGAAGCCAUGGGCCGGAGCCCUUGGGGUGAUGCUUGGUGCGCAGGGCACCCUGGCUUGGUCUGGCUGCAAGGCGGAGGGUUCUCCUGGGAAGGGCUGAGACCUGAGAUGCAAAGGUCGUGCCCCAAGGCCUUCUGGGAAGCCCAGAGAAGGGCAGGAUUUGCUUUCUGCACUCCUUUCUGGGCUCUGAACAAAGCUGGAGCCUUGAAGUUCAAGCCAACUUUAUUGCUGUUGUUCUGUGCAAAGCUUCUGUGCAAGCACCCUGGUGUCCUGCACGGGCCAGGUGCCACCACAGCUGAGACCCUGCAUGACUAAGCCUGCUUUCCCCCCACACCCCACUUCUGCAACAGGGAAUGGCUCCUGUGAGGAGGGGAGUGUAAAAGGGACGGACUGGGUGACUAGUGCCAGCGAGUAAAGCGCCUUCUUCAAGGCUUGAGACGGCGGGGGGGGGCGAGGAGAAGCCGGGUAGCCCCCUCCUUCCUGGCCGCCCACACAGCAGCCUGUGGGCGGAGGCUCGACCCCGCCGUGACCCCAUUUCUCGGCAGGCUUUACUUUGGCCGCGGUGGGCCUUCUGCAUGUUUGCUUUAGGAGAUUGGCUGGAGGAACGGCCAGCCCGGCUGUGACGCCAAGCAGAGAGCCCCCCCGCCCCGUUCCCCCUGGGGAAGGGGCCGCGCCUGUCCACCAACUGCAAUCUCAUCUCCUCUCCUUUGCCGGGGGGGGGGGAGGAGGAAGGAAUUCUGCCCCCAAGGGAGCAGCUCGCCUCGGGGGAUCUUCUCGGGGCUCUCCAAGGCGGAAACGCCCCCCCAGCAAACACACGCGGGGAUUAACCCCCGCCCCCUUUCCACCAAUCGGCAUUUGGGAUGGGGUCCAGCGCAGGGGGAGGCAGCGAUAUAAGGCGCCCCGCUCCUCGCCUUGGCCAGCGACGGAGACGCCCGGCGGCCUCUUCAGCACCAUGGCCAGCGGCGGCCUCUGUAUCGGGUGGUCGCUCCUCUUCCUCCUCUUCCUCUUCCCACCGGGGGGCUGCAGCGAGUUUUCCACCGAAGUCCAGGGGGCUGUGAAGGCCGUCGAGGGCGGAACCGUGUGCGACGCUGGCGAACCCUGCGCGGUGCGGAAAGGGGCCCGCAUUGGGCGCCUCUGUACCUGCCCCCGUGGGACGUCUUGCAACUUGUACAUCCUCAAGUGCUUGUGAAGGAGGAGCCGUCGAGGGGGGGCCUAGGGGGGCCUUUGGAAAGCAGGCAUUUGCUCACAGGUGGGUACGCAGCCCCCCCCCUUUGGCUCCCCCCCGGUGGCACUCCUCGGCUGGCAAAGUCAGGUGGGAGGGGCAAGUGAGGAUCCCACUGGCUCCCAGUGCCUUCUGGGAAAUUCUUGGCCACGUCAGCCUCAGNUUGUGAUCCAGAGAUGCUGAGUUUCCUUGGGGUAGGUGGGGAAGGGGGCGAGGAGGGGGGCUUCCGGGGGCUGGGAUGUUAUGCCAAGCGUCCGGAGCCUAUACACGGACGGAAUUGAUUCCAAAGGGACUCUUUCAGUGAACGUUGUUUCUGAUGAACUUCAGGUGAACGGAACUCCUACCGCAUCAUCCAUUAUUAUCUCUCUGGGCGGACAGAGGCCUCUGAUUGCACCUGCCCAGCACAGACUGUGAAACGCAGCCCANCGGCUCCUGUGGCGGGCUGUUCCACUGGCCANNGCUUGUUGCGACGCUUCCCCUGGNCAAGACNCGUGCCCAGUGCUGCUCUGACGAANGGCAGCAAAUGCGGGGGAGGGUGGCGCUGCCCCAGCUGCCAGCAUAAGGAGGAAACCCCGCCCCCAUAAUUCUGAUGUCUCUACUCUCCUAAGAAGACCUCCUCUGCCUUUUGCCCGGGCACCUGAGGAGCAGAAGCGUCUCUUCUCCUUCAGCAGCGAGACUCCCGUGUUGCUGUCCUGGUAAGGGCGGAUCGGGGCCUUUACGCGCCUGGACGUGCAGCACUGCGUUUGUACAGCACCAGGCAAAUACACACUCAGUCUACGUGCUGCUGCGUUCCGGCUGUGUGGUUCUUGCGUGUGUGG
Molecule: long non-coding RNA, 2414 nt
Organism: Salvator merianae (Argentine black and white tegu)
Lineage: Eukaryota; Metazoa; Chordata; Lepidosauria; Squamata; Teiidae
Source: Ensembl